UCCGGUUUAGCACCGGCAGUCUCCCCAGAGCCCUCGCCUUGACGCGUUAGCAACAUAGGACAAGGGUUGCGCUCGUUGCGGGACUUAACCCAACACCUCACGGCACGAGCUGACGACAACCAUGCACCACCUGUGAACCGGCCCCAAAGGGGAAACCACAUUUCUGCGGCGAUCCGGCCCAUGUCAAGCCUUGGUAAGGUUCUUCGCGUUGCAUCGAAUUAAUCCGCAUGCUCCGCCGCUUGUGUGGGCCCCCGUCAAUUCCUUUGAGUUUCAGUCUUGCGACCGUACUCCCCAGGCGGAGUGCUUAAUGUGUUGACUUCGGCACAGCAGGGGUCGAUACCCGCUACACCAAGCACUCAUCGUUUACGGCGUGGACUAC
RNAcentral lists this unclassified non-coding RNA (379 nucleotides) under uncultured bacterium. Its description in RNAcentral is "contains 16S-23S intergenic spacer region". The record is from RNAcentral.